RNAcentral lists this ribosomal RNA (253 nucleotides) under uncultured bacterium. RNAcentral's name for it is "partial 16S ribosomal RNA". It matches the Rfam family "Bacterial small subunit ribosomal RNA", at positions 524 to 776 of the family's 1533-position model. The record is from RNAcentral.
UACGUAGGGUCCGAGCGUUGUCCGGAAUUACUGGGCGUAAAGAGCUCGUAGGUGGUUUGUCGCGUUGUUCGUGAAAACUCACAGCUCAACUGUGGGCGUGCGGGCGAUACGGGCAGACUGGAGUACUGCAGGGGAGACUGGAAUUCCUGGUGUAGCGGUGAAAUGCGCAGAUAUCAGGAGGAACACCGGUGGCGAAGGCGGUUCUCUGGGCAUUACCUGACGCUGAGGAGCGAAAGUGUGGGGAGCGAACAGG